UGGGGGAUAUUGCACAAUGGGCGAAAGCCUGAUGCAGCGACGCCGCGUGGGGGAUGAAGGCCUUCGGGUUGUAAACUUCUUUUGCUCUGAACAAGGCGCACCAUGGGGUGUGUUGAGUGUAGGGGUUGAUUAGCGCCGGCUAACUACGUGCCAGCAGCCGCGGUAAUACGUAGGGCGCGAGCGUUGUCCGGAAUUAUUGGGCGUAAAGGGCUUGUAGGUGGCUGGUUGCGUCUGUCGUGAAAGCUCAUGGCUUAACUGUGGGUUUGCGGUGGGUACGGGCUGGCUUGAGUGCAGUAGGGGAGGCUGGAAUUCCUGGUGUAGCGGUGGAAUGCGCAGAUAUAAGGAGGAAUACCGGUGGCGAAGGCGGGUCUCUGGGCUGUUACUGACACUGAGGAGCGAAAGCAUGGGGAGCGAACAGG
RNAcentral lists this ribosomal RNA (419 nucleotides) under bacterium. RNAcentral describes it as "partial 16S ribosomal RNA". It matches the Rfam family "Bacterial small subunit ribosomal RNA", at positions 355 to 776 of the family's 1533-position model. The record is from RNAcentral.